This 497-nucleotide ribosomal RNA is filed under the name uncultured bacterium. Its description in RNAcentral is "partial 16S ribosomal RNA". It matches the Rfam family "Bacterial small subunit ribosomal RNA", at positions 28 to 507 of the family's 1533-position model. The record is from RNAcentral.
GAUGAACGCUGGCGGCGUGCCUAAUACAUGCAAGUCGAGCGAACAGACGAGGAGCUUGCUCCUCUGACGUUAGCGGCGGACGGGUGAGUAAAACGUGGAUAACCUACCUAUAAGACUGGGAUAACUUCGGGAAACCGGAGCUAAUACCGGAUAAUAUAUUGAACCGCAUGGUUCAAUAGUGAAAGAGGGUUUUGCUGUCACUUAUAGAUGGAUCCGCGCCGCAUUAGCUAGUUGGUAAGGUAACGGCUUACCAAGGCAACGAUGCGUAGCCGACCUGAGAGGGUGAUCGGCCACACUGGAACUGAGACACGGUCCAGACUCCUACGGGAGGCAGCAGUAGGGAAUCUUCCGCAAUGGGCGAAAGCCUGACGGAGCAACGCCGCGUGAGUGAUGAAGGUCUUCGGAUCGUAAAACUCUGUUAUUAGGGAAGAACAAAUGUGUAAGUAACUAUGCACGUCUUGACGGUACCUAAUCAGAAAGCCACGGCUAACUACGUG